RNAcentral lists this ribosomal RNA (406 nucleotides) under uncultured bacterium. RNAcentral describes it as "partial 16S ribosomal RNA". It matches the Rfam family "Bacterial small subunit ribosomal RNA", at positions 30 to 526 of the family's 1533-position model. The record is from RNAcentral.
AUUGAACGCUGGCGGCAGGCCUAACACAUGCAAGUCGAACGAGUGGCGGACGGGUGAGUAAUGUCUGGGAAACUGCCCGCUGGUGGGGGUUAACUACUGGACACGGUAGCUAAUACCGCAUACCAUCGGAUGUGCCCAGAUGGGAUUAGCUAGUAGGUGGGGUAACGGCGCACCUAGGCGACGAUCCAUAGCUGGUCUGUGAGGAUGACCAGCCACCCUGGAACGGAGACAAGAUCCAGACUACUACGGGAGGCAGGAGAGGGGAAUAUUGCACAAGGGGAGCAAGCCUGAUGCAGACCUGCCGCGUGUAUGAAGGAGGCCUUCGGGUUGUAAAGUACUUUCAGCGAGGAGGCGUUAUUCGAAGAAGAAGCACCGGCUAACUCCGUGCCAGCAGCCGCGGUAAUUC